RNAcentral lists this unclassified non-coding RNA (331 nucleotides) under soil metagenome. RNAcentral's name for it is "partial contains 5.8S ribosomal RNA, internal transcribed spacer 2, and large subunit ribosomal RNA". The stretch from base 1 to 120 matches the Rfam family "5.8S ribosomal RNA", at positions 35 to 154 of the family's 154-position model. The record is from RNAcentral.
GAUGAAGAACGUAGCGAAAUGUGAUAAGUAAUGUGAAUUGCAGAAUUCAGUGAAUCAUCGAAUCUUUGAACGCACAUUGCGCCCCCUGGUAUUCCGGGGGGCAUGCCUGUUCGAGCGUCAUUUCACCACUCAAGCCUCGCUUGGUAUUGGGCAACGCGGUCCGCCGCGUGCCUCAAAUCGACCGGCUGGGUCUUCUGUCCCCUAAGCGUUGUGGAAACUAUUCGCUAAAGGGUGUUCGGGAGGCUACGCCGUAAAACAACCCCAUUUCUAAGGUUGACCUCGGAUCAGGUAGGGAUACCCGCUGAACUUAAGCAUAUCAAUAAGCGGAGGA